RNAcentral lists this ribosomal RNA (480 nucleotides) under Triticum aestivum (bread wheat). RNAcentral describes it as "partial small subunit ribosomal RNA". The record is from RNAcentral. Lineage: Eukaryota; Viridiplantae; Streptophyta; Magnoliopsida; Poales; Poaceae.
AUGUCGGGGUGCUCGCAUCACCCAAGGUUGUCAGGCCCAUCGCGCUCAACUUCGAGGAGAGGACGCCCGUCAAGGAGCGGCCCUCGCGAGCUCGGCGUCGAGGAGAGGUCCAUCGCCACUGAUGAAUAUCGUGAGCGAGCCAGCGGUCGUGCGUGCGUCAGGACACGCUCGUCAAGGACCCCCACCCCCUUCCUUCCUUGUGCUCGGCCAUGCCUAGCAGCAAGGAGGAGGAUCUACUACCCUACGGAAGGGAAGGAAGAGGCCGCCGGCGAGCGAAGCACGGCCACGGCGUUGGACUCGCCGGGGACGGCUGCUCCUCCUGAGCUCUCCUUUUUGUCCAUUUUUGUUCACUACUACCUGAAGGAAACUGUACUGGAUAGCUGCAGUAGAAACUGUACUAUGGAAGGGAGGGUGAGCGAUUCUGGGAAAUUCCUUGUGGCCGUGAAAGGCUUGGAUGCCAUACUGAUUGUAGUGCAAUGA